This 860-nucleotide long non-coding RNA is filed under the name Calidris pygmaea (Spoon-billed sandpiper). Its description in RNAcentral is "lncRNA (ENSCPGG00000017127.1)". Lineage: Eukaryota; Metazoa; Chordata; Aves; Charadriiformes; Scolopacidae. The record is from RNAcentral.
UCCCUGACUCAGUCCCGCCCCCUUGACCCCCGCCGCCCAAUCACCGCGCGCCUCCGCGCCCAGAGCCAGCGAGACCCCGCGAGAUUCCCUCACCUCACACAACCCUCACCUCGGGUGGCCCCGCCUUCCUCACCUCUCCUGCCAAUCACGCGGUGCCGCUCCAGCGUACUGGCCAAUUGACUCUCCCCUUGAGCCGAGUCCCGCCCCCAAGACCUUCUUUUUGCCCAAUCGCAGCCGCCUCUCCGAUCCAAUUAGCCAAUGAGGAGAAACGAAAGCCCGAAAAGGGGUUACUGGGCCAAUAGUACUCGGAGGCGAGGCGGUGCCGUGAUUGACAGCUCUCCUCACCAGUGAGGAGCGGCGAGGCGCGUUAAAGGAGUCCUCCUUCAAACCGCAGUGCGAGGUGCCGGGUGACGGGCGCGGAAGUCGCCGGUUCCCCCCCCGCCGCAGGUGGGCAGCCGGCCAAUGGAAGGCGGGGAGCCGGGUGAUGGGCGGCGCGAGCGGCCAAUGGCGCUGCCGGGGCGGGGUCUCUCUUGCUUACUGUUGGACUUCGACAGACAUAAUCUGUGAAGAUAAUCGAAGUUCCUUUGCUCUGAGUGCUGUAAGUGAUUUUUUUGUUUGUUUUAUGGAAAUUGUUAGGAGCCUAUUUGCUCCUGACAAACACAGGGGAAAAAGGUGAAAAUGCCAAAUCACAGACAAUUGGUUGAAAUGAAGCUGGUGCAGAUUUGUUAUAUGACUGUACGUGUUUGCAGGAGAUAUUUCUUAACAGCAUUUUGUAUUCAGGAACACCCCUGUCUCCAUUCCAGCCAUGCUGAGAAAUGCAGUAGCAGAACCCUAAUUGCAAAUUGCCAGUAAAGAUACCC